GGAUAAAAAACGAACAAUCGUAAUCGGUUUCGACCCGGUCUUUGGUCUUUUGUGACCUUUAUUCU
This 65-nucleotide transfer RNA is filed under the name Pollicipes polymerus. RNAcentral describes it as "tRNA-Arg". The record is from RNAcentral. Lineage: Eukaryota; Metazoa; Arthropoda; Thecostraca; Pollicipedomorpha; Pollicipedidae.